Molecule: ribosomal RNA, 253 nt
Filed under: uncultured bacterium
Lineage: Bacteria
Description: partial 16S ribosomal RNA
Rfam family: Bacterial small subunit ribosomal RNA
Source: RNAcentral
UACGAAGGGGGCUAGCGUUGCUCGGAAUCACUGGGCGUAAAGCGCACGUAGGCGGCUCUUUAAGUCAGGGGUGAAAUCCUGGAGCUCAACUCCAGAACUGCCUUUGAUACUGGGGAUCUCGAGUCCGGAAGAGGUGAGUGGAACUCCGAGUGUAGAGGUGAAAUCCGUAGAUAUUCGGAAGAACACCAGUGGCGAAGGCGGCUCACUGGUCCGGUACUGACGCUGAGGUGCGAAAGCGUGGGGAGCAAACAGG